CUAGUGAGCAUUGUGCAUUAAGUUGCAUUCUAACAGCUGUAUUUCAGAACAUGUCAAAAGCAUCAUACACAUUUCUGAAUUGCAGAUGAUAUUCUUGUAGAUUAUGGAGAGAAGGAUGCAAGUCACUAAAUUUGGCGUGGACCUGGAGGUGUGACAAUUUAUGAACCGGAGACUAAAUUUGGCGUGGACCUGGAGGUGUGACAAUUUAUGAACCGGAGACUAAUGGAUGAUGCCACCACAGAUGCUCGAGUUUUCCUUCAUUCUGAAUGUGGACUUUAAAUGUGGUAG
RNAcentral lists this long non-coding RNA (288 nucleotides) under Elaeis guineensis (African oil palm). Its description in RNAcentral is "long non-coding RNA (EGUI_LNC013732)". The record is from RNAcentral. Lineage: Eukaryota; Viridiplantae; Streptophyta; Magnoliopsida; Arecales; Arecaceae.